GGGGGAAGCGAAAUUAAUUGUAAUUGGGAUUGUGGAGCUUCAUUCAAAUUCUAAAUUCAUUCGCAAAUUUUGUUGAAUAUGUGAAGUCAUACAAUUAAAACUUUGUUCAAUUUUUUUACUAAAUGAUUUUUUAUCUGGUUUAUAUAUGAUUUAAAAAACUAAAAGACGACUUAUACAAAUUGAAAUUUAAAAAAAUGUUUUUACAUCAUUAAAUAGAUAUUGUUAAUGUAAAAAAAUAAAUACAUGAUAGAUUAGUAAAAAAAAUAUUUUUGUUGAUUCUGGGCCAACUAAUAAGGCAAGAUAUUUCAUUAGGUCAAUUUUGUAAUAUGAAAUCUUUGAGGCCCAAUGUUAUAAUCCACUUACACUUUCCAAAUACAUAAUUAACCAUUUUUUUUUCUUUUCUGUUCGAAAAAUAUACCCUAUCCUUCGUCUCCAUUUCGUCGCUUCGGAACAAACGACGCUCAAAUCUUCUUCGAACCUACAUGCGAAAUGAAUUCACCUUCCACAGAUCUUCAGUGAAAUGAAUCGAAGGUUCUAUCAGAUCUACCGAGUUAUGUAUUAGCUUCGUCAAUCAAAAGCCAUAAGAUCCCUGGGAAUGUACAAAUAAAUCAGAUCAAACUCACGGUGUCUGUUAAUGGAGCCGAUACAUUUGUUCUGAAAUAAGAGAAGAUGCGGCAAAAAAGCACAUGGAGCUUCAGUCAUUCAGCUAAGUUCUCAUUGCCUCAGCAUGUUUGCAAAUAGAAAACAAACACUCAAAAACAGAAAUUUCAUUGACAUAAAUUUCUUUUCGUUCAACCUCAGAACAUGUGUCUUUUCCCUGGAUCAGCUUCAUAUAACACCUUCAGAUCAUGUACAAAUCCUCACUCCUUCGAUGUAAAUAAGAGAGAUUGACAAUCAAGAGAAAGAUUGUAGAUUGAAAGCUCAGCCGUUGUCUACUAAUCAGCAAUAACAGGCAUCACUCAUAAUCGUCAAUUUUUCAUCACUUGGCCGUGACAUCUUUUCCACCAACUGAAGGAUUAAGCUCCUCCCACGCCUCAGUCCAAGCGAUCAUUGCAUCAGCCAAUUUCUCAAAGGAUCAACUUUAGCAAGCUUCUGUUUUGUCAUCUUGGACAACUCCAUAUAGCAUCUAGUGGUGGCAGGCCCGGUCCUGAGCCUAUAACUAAAAAACAUGGCAUCGGUGUAGGGUUCUUUGGAGAGACAAACGUUCUGGCAGAAAGGAACCAUAUCUUCUUGCCAAUGACCUCACUUGUGCUCUUUCUUUAGGUUCACGAACGUGUUAAUCGCUUUGCUUUAACCGGUCUUCCUUGUACUCCCUUGCGCCCAAAGCGGUCUUGACCCCGAAAGCCCAAGUGGUCACACACAACUUUAGCUGCCCAACCAGCCACAUGUCAUCGUACCGGGAAAUAGGCGCUGGUCCAACAAGCUCUCUAUUGAAAGCAAGACUCAUGCCACACAUGGGUACAGAACACGUUUUGGGAUUGUCAUCACUGCAUCAACAUAUAUGCAAGGACUAUUGUAGAGACCAGAGAUGCUAAAGUCCUAGAUUUUUAUUUUGUUUUGUAUAUAUUAUUAAGGCUUAAUUUGUUUGUUUAAAUCUUAUAUCUCCUGGCUCCUUGGACCAUAAUAGUUUCGGGUUAAUUUAAUUCGUUUGUCAUGUUUUUAACUAUUUAACUUUGUAUAUGUAUAUUCUUCAUGUUUUUGAAAAGAACAUGACCUCAAAAGUUGAGGCAGCAGAUUAAUAAUUUCUUAGAUGAUUGAGCGGAGAUGUGGAGUUGCGAAAAUGGAGACAAAGCAGCAGAAGAACUGAAACCAUGAGAGGUGGAAAGCUCUCAUGUGAGGUUGCGACAGAGAAUGCAAAACUUCUCUCUGGGCACCAUCAAGCAAUAAGAUUUUGGCUGCAUUUUUAAAAGUGUUUUUAGUCAUUCUUAUACGGAAAUUAACUGCCUUAUGUUCUUGUGAUUAUUACAAGUCUCUGCAAAUCGCACUAUCGAGGACUCUCUAUCCACAUCUUUAUCAAGUAACCACAUGUGAAAACACUGCUCAAUAAACUAUUACUUAUAGGGGUCUUACUUGUGUUGUUAGAGCAGUAAUCAUGUGUUAAUAACGGUUUAGA
This is a long non-coding RNA of Brassica napus (rape), 2113 nucleotides long. RefSeq lists it as uncharacterized. NCBI's taxonomy places the organism in Eukaryota, Viridiplantae, Streptophyta, Magnoliopsida, Brassicales, Brassicaceae. The record is from RefSeq and is a predicted model, not a curated record. The transcript is spliced from 5 exons.